Molecule: RNA transcript, 1649 nt
Organism: Triticum dicoccoides
Lineage: Eukaryota; Viridiplantae; Streptophyta; Magnoliopsida; Poales; Poaceae
Exons: 8
Source: RefSeq, a predicted model, not a curated record
AUGGUCCCGCUUGGGCGCCUUCCGGCGCUGCCGCUAGCGCGUGGCUCCACGCGCCGCCGCCUCCUCGCCGCCGGGGCCUCUGCCGCCUCACCGCUCCCAUGGCCGGGCCUUCACACCUGGCGCCGGGCUCCUCCCAGCGACCUCCGCUCGUGGGGCCCCAACGGCCCCUGCGUCCCGAACACGGACAAGGCGGGCGCGCCAGAAGCCGGCGCCGGAGUCGGCGACGGCUCGUCCUUGGCCGAGAUGGGCGCCCUCGUGCUGUCCACCGCCGACCCCCUCGCCAAGGCGCACCUCACCCACGCCGCCUUCUCCCGGUGGGCGGCAGGCGGGCUCCCCGUGGGCCUCGCCCGGGCCCCCGACCACCCCGCCAGGCCGGAAAAGCCCCUCGCGGUGACUCAGAAGGAGGUCCCCACGCACAAGGCGAUGGGGGUACCGCUAAACGCGUACAUGCUCCACAACCUGGCGCAUGUCGAGCUCAAUGCGAUCGACCUUGCUUGGGACACUGUGGUGCGGUUCUCGCCGCUCCGGGACACCCUGGGAGAUGGCUUCUUUGCGGACUUUGCGCGUGUGGCUGACGAUGAGAGCCGGCAUUUUCGGUGGUAUUCACAGCGGCUUGCCGAGCUUGGCUUCAGAUAUGGUGAUAUGCCUGUCCACAAUCUUCUGUGGAGGGAGUGUGCAAAAUCCUCAAGUGAUGUUUCUGCACGGAUGGCAGUUAUACCUCUAGUACAGGAAGCUAGAGGCCUUGAUGCUGGACCGAGACUAGUCCAAAAGUUAAUUGGCUUUGCGGACCAUAGAUCUGCAGACAUUGUGGCAAAAGUAGCAGAGGAAGAGCUUGCACAUGUUUCUGUAGGUUUAUAUUGGUUUCUGAAAGUGUGCGAAAUGAUGGGCCGUGUCCCUGGUGCUGCUUUUAGAGAUCUGAUAAAGGAGCAUGAUGUUGUAAUGAGGGGUCCAUUUAACUAUCAGUCUCGUGAUGAAGCUGGUAUACCUCGAGAAUGGUAUGAUGAGACGCUUAAACCUGAAGUUGCAAGCAACCUUUCAGAGGUGCAUGAUAGGCUAGCAUGUGUUAUUGAGAUGGAGAAAGAGAAUGCUAAUUUGAAUGGCUAAAAUCUCACCUGACGAAUACUUGAGAGACUUGGUAGGUACUCCCUCCGUUCCAAAAAAGAUGACUCAACUUUAUACUAAAUUUAGUAUAAAGUUAGUACAAAGUUGAGUCAUCUAUUUUGGAACGGAUGGAUACUACACAGAUAUUCUAGCACACUGAUACCUUUUUCUUGGUUUAUUUUGAUGCCAACCGCCACCAAGCUGCUUACAUCCCUGACUAACCUUGGUUAGGAUAGCUGGAGGGGUGUUUGCCAAGUUGCCGCCCCAAGGCAACAGAUGCGCAAACGCCUCAAAUUUGCACGGUAGUGACCUGUACAGUAGUCAUCAAGACUCUUACCUGCUUGAGGCAUAAUUUGCUGCUGGGAGGCGAGGUGUUGUUGGCCUGAGCUGCAAGAGCCGAAGAACAAUGGACAAAGUGUAACCAGUUCAUGUCAGCUACAGUUCAGUGGAAGGCCAAACGUUUCACAUUCUGUGAUGUAUCAGCGGAUAUGUGUUACAGUUGACCACGAUGCUAUUAAAUCAAUAUAUAGGAUAUUGUCGAUCCGAUC